Molecule: long non-coding RNA, 2309 nt
Organism: Chiloscyllium plagiosum (whitespotted bambooshark)
Lineage: Eukaryota; Metazoa; Chordata; Chondrichthyes; Orectolobiformes; Hemiscylliidae
Source: RefSeq, a predicted model, not a curated record
GCAUGGGGAGGUGGAUCUGCAGAGUAGUAGUGAGUGAGUGAGUGAGUGACGGUCUCACCAGUUUCACACUGUCCAAAAAAAAUAACCCACUCAGGGUCUUCUGAGCAACUGCACCCCCCCCCUUCGCCGACCCCUCACUAAAUCCACGAGUAUAACAUGAUGCUGAAAAAAGGACUUUUUAAAAUUCUUUCAAAGUGUUACACCUUAGGUGUUUCUUUCAAAAAAAAAUUUAAACUUUGUCCAAAAAGUCAUUUUUUUGGGGGGAGACGCGAGGAGAGGGGAAACCCUACAUUAAAUACAAUACCAUACUUCAGCAGACCCAGGGUCCCCUCUUCAAAUUGCAAGGGUUAAUUUCCCUUUUUUUCUGAACAUCUAAUUGCUUCGCCCGUAAACAAUCCGCUCCGGAACAUUGAAACAUCCAAUGGUGGCUUCUUUUGACUUAGAAACAGAAAAUCAGAAUAAGACACCAUUUGUUUUAAAAAACAAAAAUUGCAGAAUGAAAAUCUGAUUCUUGCCAUCGACACAGUUGCGACGGACUCCCCUCACAGAGAUCGGAAAAUGAUUCCAGAUUCACGCUGGGCACCCACAGCUAUCAUAAACCUUGCUACAAAGUUAGAUUCACCGUCAAUACAGUUGACAAUGACCCGCCUCGCGGAUUGACCGUACAAACUCACCAGGAUGUAUUUUGUUUUGGAUGUGAGAGCGGUUUGCAACAGCCCUCUCUCGUUAUGUAUCUUUUUUUUUGCACGUUGCUUUUUCGAGACGGAUUAUACUAUCGGGUCUCUCCAAAGUGAUGGUGAUACUUAAUGGCAUCUUCAAUUCCUGCAGGUCAAGGUCCUACAUCUGGAGGGGGCACAAAGAAAGCAAGUUGCACGCAGCUGUCAGUAGCAAUUUUCUUGUUAGUGUUUAGCUGUUCUGACACUGGUUGAUGCAAAUAUUUCUCCGUUGUCGGUAUCAGUGAGAAAAGGAAGCUCGGCAGAAGUUGCACUGAAAUUGGAAUGCUGUUUUGAAGUAUCAAGUUCUGCAAAGAGCUCAGUGAAUUUCUACAGUAAAGUAGCAGCUGAAAGUCAGUCACAAUAGUAUGAUAUUUAUGGAAGAACAUCAAAGGCAUUUAUAAUGUAAUUAUUGCAGGUUUACGGUGAGAUAAUCUACAACUGAUUACACAAGAUCCUGACAUUCAUUAUAUGUACUGUAACAUGGUCAUUUGUCACAUACAUAUAUUACAAUAGAAACAUUAAAUGAGCCCAAUAGAAAUCAUGAUUUAUAUUAUACAUUCUGUUAUCCUUUUUAGAGGCAGGGAUUAUAAAACCUACCAUCUAUUGUUAAAUGGCAAUAGCAAAAACCAUGGAUAAAAUAUUUUAGUUGGCCAAGACUGUUUCAGAAGUCUAACGUAGUCAAAAUAAAAAGAAAGCACACUGGAUGAUAAAUAUGUGGAGUGAUGUAGCACAGGAAUGAGUCUAACACAGUAAGACCUGGGCAAUAUUCAGGCUUGGUCUGAUAAGUGAUCAGUAACAGUGCACCACACAAUUGUUUGGUCAAUGACCAUCUCCAGCAUGAGAGAAUCUAAUCAUCUCCCCUUGACAUUCAAUGGCAUUAUCACUGCUGCAUAACCCAUUAAUGACAUCCUGUGGAUCAAACAGCAACUUAACCGAACCUGCUCGAUAAAUGCUAUGAUUACAAGAAGGGGGGAGAUAAUGCAUUCUGCUAAUGUCACUGCUCUCAUUUCAAUCCCACCAAGGUAGCUGAUGAAAUUCAAAUUCAGUUAAUAACUCUGGAUGUGAUGGUGAAAUUGUAGCAAAACUCCAUCUGAUUCACUGGUAACCUUUUGGGAAAAGAAAUCUACAAUUCUUACCUAGCCUGGUCAGGCCUCCAUGUGACUCCAUACCUACAACAAGUGGUUGACUAACUGUGCUCUGAACUGUCCAGAAAGCCACUCAGUUCAAAGGUAAUUAGGACUGGGCAACAAGUGCUGGACUUGCCAGUGAUGUCCACAUCCAAUGAAAGAAUAAAAGAAAACAAAAAGGUGUAGGUUAGAGGCACAAGGCGUCAGGAGUCAACCUCUCCACUUGCUUGGAUGGGGCAAAUCCUAUAACACUCAAAAUGGUCAGCACCAUCCUGGAUAAAGCAGCCCAUUUAUCACCUUAAACUGCCUCCACCACCAUCUCUAAGAUGCACUGCAGCAAGUCACCAUGCAUCCUUAAACUGUACAUUGGAAACCGAUUACCACUACAAUCUCGAAGAACAAGGACAGCAAGGUUCCAUCCAGGCCACUCACCAUCCUGACGUAGAAAUAUACCAUUGUUCCUUCA